CAAAUAAGAAGCAAUAAUGCAUCCAGUUUCGACCUGGAAGUAGAUGAAUAUUCAUCCUUAUUU
This 63-nucleotide transfer RNA is filed under the name Pseudolebinthus lunipterus. Its description in RNAcentral is "Pseudolebinthus sp. 1 RN-2019 tRNA-Arg". Lineage: Eukaryota; Metazoa; Arthropoda; Insecta; Orthoptera; Gryllidae. The record is from RNAcentral.